GAUGAACGCUGGCGGCGUGCCUAAUACAUGCAAGUCGAGCGAACAGAUGAGGAGCUUGCUCCUCUGACGUUAGCGGCGGACGGGUGAGUAACACGUGGAUAACCUACCUAUAAGACUGGGAUAACUUCGGGAAACCGGAGCUAAUACCGGAUAAUAUAUUGAACCGCAUGGUUCAAUAGUGAAAGACGGUUUUGCUGUCACUUAUAGAUGGAUCCGCGCCGCAUUAGCUAGUUGGUAAGGUAACGGCUUACCAAGGCGACGAUGCGUAGCCGACCCGAGAGGGUGAUCGGCCACACUGGAACUGAGACACGGUCCAGACUCCUACGGGAGGCAGCAGUAGGGAAUCUUCCGCAAUGGGCGAAAGCCUGACGGAGCAACGCCGCGUGAGUGAUGAAGGUCUUCGGAUCGUAAAACUCUGUUAUUAGGGAAGAACAAAUGUGUAAGUAACUAUGCACGUCUUGACGGUACCUAAUCAGAAAGCCACGGCUAACUACGUG
This 497-nucleotide ribosomal RNA is filed under the name uncultured bacterium. RNAcentral's name for it is "partial 16S ribosomal RNA". It matches the Rfam family "Bacterial small subunit ribosomal RNA", at positions 28 to 507 of the family's 1533-position model. The record is from RNAcentral.